RNAcentral lists this ribosomal RNA (231 nucleotides) under Triticum aestivum (bread wheat). RNAcentral's name for it is "partial small subunit ribosomal RNA". The record is from RNAcentral. Lineage: Eukaryota; Viridiplantae; Streptophyta; Magnoliopsida; Poales; Poaceae.
CUCUUGAGGAUCUACUGUAAUGCUUCUGGUCAGCGGGUUAACAUGGAGAAAUCCUUAAUCUUUUACCGUAAGGGUGUUCUUGAACCUUCCCAUGAUGCCAUUAAAAAUAUUCUUGUUGUCCAUAAUCAAUCAUUAUCAGAGAAGUAUCUUGGCUUGCCAUCAGAUGUUGGCAGGCCAAAGGGGGUCUUUAAGUACAUAAAGGACACAAUUUGGACGAAAGUGCAAGGCUAG